CACAUUCAAAUUAUACAGUUCGAGUCAUAACGACAACCUUUGUUGAUAUCAAGCCAGAAACCACAACUCGAACCUUUACAACCCCCGAAGGAGUGCCAAACCAUAGUCCUGAGUUACAGCCAACUUUUCUUGGAGUGUAUGAUUGUACUGAAAAUAAAAGAAAUGUGACGGUGAACUGGAAGUUUCCAGAUCCGAGGGAACGAAAUGGCGUGAUAAGGAACGUAACCGUGAA
Molecule: long non-coding RNA, 232 nt
Organism: Dendronephthya gigantea
Lineage: Eukaryota; Metazoa; Cnidaria; Anthozoa; Malacalcyonacea; Nephtheidae
Exons: 3
Source: RefSeq, a predicted model, not a curated record